UACAGAGGGUGCGAGCGUUGUCCGGAAUCACUGGGCGUAAAGGGCGCGUAGGUGGCGACCCAAGUCUGUGGUGAAAGCUCGACGCUCAACGUCGAGUCGGCCAUAGAUACUGGGUUGCUUGAGCACUGUAGAGGCAGAUGGAAUUCCGGGUGUAGCGGUGGAAAUGCGUAGAUAUCUGGAGGAACACCGGUGGCGAAGGCGGCAUCCUGGACCGGCAUUGACGCUGAGGCGCGAAAGCCAGGGGAGCAAACGGG
Molecule: ribosomal RNA, 254 nt
Filed under: uncultured bacterium
Lineage: Bacteria
Description: partial 16S ribosomal RNA
Rfam family: Bacterial small subunit ribosomal RNA
Source: RNAcentral